Non-coding RNA from Triticum aestivum (bread wheat), 147 nucleotides. Lineage: Eukaryota; Viridiplantae; Streptophyta; Magnoliopsida; Poales; Poaceae. The record is from Rfam.
GUUGCUUCACAACUGGAAGUAUGGCCUGUUGUUAAUAGUUUGGUCAUGCUGUAGAGGGAAGCAUAGAUUAAUCGGAAACACUGGCCAGCAUUAAACAGCACGACGCAUUACCAAACUGCGUCAUGUUACCUGUCUUCUGGCACAUUU